RNAcentral lists this ribosomal RNA (1109 nucleotides) under Clostridioides difficile. Its description in RNAcentral is "bacterial LSU rRNA". It matches the Rfam family "Bacterial large subunit ribosomal RNA", at positions 768 to 1895 of the family's 2925-position model. Lineage: Bacteria; Bacillati; Bacillota; Clostridia; Peptostreptococcales; Peptostreptococcaceae. The record is from RNAcentral.
GGAGGUCCGAACCCACGAGCGUUGAAAAGCUCGGGGAUGACUUGUGGGUAGCGGUGAAAUUCCAAUCGAGCCCGGAGAUAGCUGGUUCUCCCCGAAAUAGCUUUAGGGCUAGCCUCAAGGUGAGAGAUACGGGUGUAGCGCACUGAAUGUCCUAGGGGGUAUUGCACCUACCGAAGACUAUCAAACUCCGAAUGCCGUCAUCUUAUACUUGGGAGUCAGACUGUGGGUGAUAAGAUUCAUAGUCGAAAGGGCAACAGCCCAGAUCGUCAGCUAAGGUCCCUAAAUGUAAGUUAAGUGGUAAAGGAUGUGGGAUUGCACAGACAACCAGGAUGUUGGCUUAGAAGCAGCCACUCAUUCAAAGAGUGCGUAAUAGCUCACUGGUCGAGUGAUCCUGCGCCGAAGAUUUCCGGGGCUAAAACUUACUACCGAAGCUACGGCAUCAGUAAUGAUGGGUAGGGGAGCUUCCCAUACGGGUUGAAGCAUGACCGUAAGGACAUGUGGACAGUAUGGGAGUGAGAAUGUUGGCAUGAGUAGCGAGAUGUGGGUGAGAAUCCCACAGGCCGUAAACCCAAGGUUUCCAGGGGAAGGUUCGUCCGCCCUGGGUUAGUCGGGACCUAAGCUGAGGCCGAAAGGCGUAGGUGAUGGACAACAGGUUGAUAUUCCUGUACUACCGAUAACCGUUUGAGAGAAGGGAUGACACAGUAGGAUAAGCUAAGCACACUGUUGGUUAUGUGUGCCCAAGCAUUGAGGCAGUCAAAGUAGGCAAAUCCGCUUUGAUAAUGCUGGGGUGUGAUGGGGAGCGAAAUUUAGUAGCGAAGUAGCUGAUUUCACACUGUCAAGAAAAGUCUCUAUCGAGGUUAAAGGUACCCGUACCGCAAACCGACACAGGUGGGUGAGGAGAGUAUCCUAAGGCCAGCGAGAGAACUGUUGUUAAGGAACUCGGCAAAAUGACCCCGUAACUUAGGGAUAAGGGGUGCCACCAUCAGGUGGCCGCAGAGAAUAGGCCCAAGCGACUGUUUACCAAAAACAUAGGUUUCUGCUAAGUCGCAAGACGAUGUAUAGGAGCUGACGCCUGCCCGGUGCUGGAAGGUUAAGGGGAUCUGUUAGAG